Schistosoma curassoni is the source of this 45-nucleotide non-coding RNA. The record is from Rfam. NCBI's taxonomy places the organism in Eukaryota, Metazoa, Platyhelminthes, Trematoda, Strigeidida, Schistosomatidae.
AUCUAGCCGACGAGUCCCAAAUAGGACAAAACGCGCGUUAUGGAU